UACGGAGGAUCCAAGCGUUAUCCGGAUUUAUUGGGUUUAAAGGGUGCGUAGGCGGUUUGGUAAGUCAGUGGUGAAAGUUUGCGGCUCAACCGUAAAAUUGCCAUUGAUACUGUCGAACUUGAGUACGAGUGCGGUUGGCGGAAUGCGCGGUGUAGCGGUGAAAUGCAUAGAUAUCGCGCAGAACACCGAUUGCGAAGGCAGCUGACCAACUCGUUACUGACGCUGAGGCACGAUAGCGUGGGGAGCAAACAGG
RNAcentral lists this ribosomal RNA (253 nucleotides) under uncultured bacterium. RNAcentral describes it as "partial 16S ribosomal RNA". It matches the Rfam family "Bacterial small subunit ribosomal RNA", at positions 524 to 776 of the family's 1533-position model. The record is from RNAcentral.